CCGUCUCCCCACACACGCAUGCGUCGAGCAGUAUAGCUUGUAAAAAGAAGAUUUCCAUCAUAUCCAUCUUUACCAACCCUGAAAUUAUCGUUAAAAAAAUGCCUGUUUUGGGAGAAAAAUCCCCCUCACCCCGACCUCACAGAACAAUGUAGCCCACAGCUGAGGACGCCCCCGACUUUUUUUUUUUUUUUUUUUUUCCAAAAGCACCGAGCGGAAGCCUGCAAAGAGAAAAAGAUCCUCAAAUCCUCCCAAUCGGCAGACUGUGAUGUUCAUCAGCAUCCAUGACCAUGAGGGCUACCAGUUCCUCCAUCGAGUCGGAGACCUGAACCAGAAGACAUGCUACAAAGCUCUGCGAAUCAGAAUUUGCCUCUUGAAUUACGAAGAAGGAAUCCCUUUAUUGGACAAAAAGCUGCUUGUGAAAUCUGAGCUGGACUGUAGGUAUUGUGGAAUAAAAAAUAAAGAUAGCUGGAAUGUAAAAUAAUGAAAAAGGAGUCAGUUAGAGAAUGGAAAAGCUUUUGAAGCCAGAAAGGCUGAUGGAAAGGAGAAAAAAAUACAAUUCUAAAAAUCUGUAUCAGUCGAUGAUUAAUUAAUUUUGUUGAAUGAUCUGCUCCAGCCUUGUGAGAUAUCUGUUUCCAUUUCUUUUGCACUUUUAUGGAAGAUCUCAAGAGACUGCCGGUUCAAAAAGACGGUUCAAUUUAGAGUUCCGAUGGGAAAUGGUUUUAGAAAGUCUGUUCCUUACGUUUGGCUUUGAUGUGUUUAAACUGUCGUAAUCUUACUGUUCGGA
This is a long non-coding RNA of Labrus bergylta (ballan wrasse), 784 nucleotides long. RefSeq lists it as uncharacterized. The record is from RefSeq and is a predicted model, not a curated record. NCBI's taxonomy places the organism in Eukaryota, Metazoa, Chordata, Actinopteri, Labriformes, Labridae.